RNAcentral lists this non-coding RNA (94 nucleotides) under Phormidium ambiguum. RNAcentral's name for it is "TPP sequence". It matches the Rfam family "TPP riboswitch aptamer (THI element)". Rfam says of the family: Vitamin B(1) in its active form thiamin pyrophosphate (TPP) is an essential coenzyme that is synthesised by coupling of pyrimidine and thiazole moieties in bacteria. RNAcentral also lists the same sequence under 1 other name. The record is from RNAcentral. Lineage: Bacteria; Bacillati; Cyanobacteriota; Cyanophyceae; Oscillatoriales; Oscillatoriaceae.
CAUCCAAGCUAGGGGUGCCCAUUGUGGGCUGAGAUUAGACUCUUAGUACCUGAGACUGGGUAAUACCAGCGGAGGGAAGCUGUUUAUUCGAGGA